UACGGAGGAUUCAAGCGUUAUCCGGAAUUACUGGGUGUAAAGGGAGCGUAGACGGUGAUGUAAGUCUGGAGUGAAAGGCGGGGGCCCAACCCCCGGACUGCUUUGGGAACUGUACGGCUGGAGUGCAGGAGAGGUAAGUGGAAUUCCUAGUGUAGCGGUGAAAUGCGUAGAUAUUAGGAGGAACACCAGUGGCGAAGGCGGCCUGCUGGACGGUGACUGACGCUGAGGCUCGAAAGCGUGGGGAGCAAACAGG
Molecule: ribosomal RNA, 253 nt
Filed under: uncultured Eubacteriales bacterium
Lineage: Bacteria; Bacillati; Bacillota; Clostridia; Eubacteriales
Description: uncultured Clostridiales bacterium partial 16S ribosomal RNA
Rfam family: Bacterial small subunit ribosomal RNA
Source: RNAcentral